GAGUGAACUGGGAAGAGUCCAGCGCUGAAUCACUUCUCCUCUGGGGUCGUGAGGUGUAGCGUACAGACCGUGAGCUUGGAUUGGCCUGCUUGUUCAAGUUUCCCUUGACCGGGGCUCCAGAGAAGGUGCAAGACCUGUCCAACGAGUGGUUGCCUAUCCAUCUUCGCGUGUCUUGGAGUCGGGUUGUUUGGGAUCGCAGCCCAAAGUAGGUGGUAAACUUCAUCUAAGACUGAAUACGGCCACGAGUCCGAUAGCGAACAAGUACCGUGAGGGAAAGUUGCAAAGCACUUUGAAGAGAGAGUUAAAGAGGACGUGAAACCGAUGAGAUGGAAACGGACAGAGCUGGCGUAUCUGGUCUGCAUUCAUCCGUGUGUUCUUGGGCGUUUGGAUUGCCACUCCAGACUGGGAUGGUGUUCAUUCUGUUCAGGGGCUCAUGGAGCAUUUGCAGGCGGAGUGCGCUGAGAUGCUCGGAGCAGCUGCAUGAGCUUGGCUUUGAGGCCAGCCCUUCGGGGUCUGGUACCCGGGCUGUGGGAGUGCUGUUUGUUCUGGGUGCUGAGUGUGUGCAAUGGCAACGGGUCCGUGUUGGUUUGAGCUGGCGGUCGGUGGCGGUCGCGUGCGACACGUGCCAGCAGUCAGUUCGGUCCUGCUCGGGCUCUCAUUGCAUGUUCUCGGUGUAAAAGCCGGUCAUCUGUCCGACCCGUCUUGAAACACGGACCAAGGAGUUUAGCGUGUGCGCGAGUCAUUGGGAGUUGAAAACCCAAGGGCGUAAUGAAAGUGAAGGUCUCCUUGCGGAGCUGAUGUGUGAUCUCGUGCACCCCGGUGUGCGGGCGCAACAUAGUCCCGUCCCGAUCGCAUGCGAUGGGGCGGAGACAGAGCGUACGCGCUGAGACCCGAAAGAUGGUGAACUAUUCCUGAGCAGGAUGAAGCCAGAGGAAACUCUGGUGGA
RNAcentral lists this ribosomal RNA (946 nucleotides) under Globodera rostochiensis. Its description in RNAcentral is "partial large subunit ribosomal RNA". It matches the Rfam family "Eukaryotic large subunit ribosomal RNA", at positions 91 to 871 of the family's 3401-position model. The record is from RNAcentral. Lineage: Eukaryota; Metazoa; Nematoda; Chromadorea; Rhabditida; Heteroderidae.